Molecule: ribosomal RNA, 400 nt
Filed under: Bacillus sp. MRMR6
Lineage: Bacteria; Bacillati; Bacillota; Bacilli; Caryophanales; Bacillaceae
Description: bacterial SSU rRNA
Rfam family: Bacterial small subunit ribosomal RNA
Source: RNAcentral
AGGUGACUGCCGGUGACAAACCGGAGGAAGGUGGGGAUGACGUCAAAUCAUCAUGCCCCUUAUGACCUGGGCUACACACGUGCUACAAUGGAUGGUACAAAGGGCUGCAAAACCGCGAGGUUAAGCGAAUCCCAUAAAACCAUUCUCAGUUCGGAUUGUAGGCUGCAACUCGCCUACAUGAAGCCGGAAUCGCUAGUAAUCGCGGAUCAGCAUGCCGCGGUGAAUACGUUCCCGGGCCUUGUACACACCGCCCGUCACACCACGAGAGUUUGUAACACCCGAAGUCGGUGGGGUAACCUAACUGGAGCCAGCCGCCUAAGGUGGGACAGAUGAUUGGGGUGAAGUCGUAACAAGGUAGCCGUAUCGGAAGGUGCGGCUGGAUCACCUCCUUUUUAAGGAA